UGGGGAAUAUUGCACAAUGGAGGGAACUCUGAUGCAGCGACGCCGCGUGAACGAAGAAGGCUUUCGAGUCGUAAAGUUCUUUUAUAUGGGAAGAUAAUGACGGUACCAUAAGAAAAAGCCCCGGCUAACUACGUGCCAGCAGCCGCGGUAAUACGUAGGGGGCUAGCGUUGACCGGAAUCACUGGGCGUAAAGGGUUCGCAGGCGGAAAUGCAAGUCAGGUGUAAAAGGCAGUAGCUUAACUACUGUAAGCAUUUGAAACUGCAUAUCUUGAGAAGAGUAGAGGUAAGUGGAAUUUUUAGUGUAGCGGUGAAAUGCGUAGAUAUUAAAAAGAAUACCGGUGGCGAAGGCGACUUACUGGGCUCAUUCUGACGCUGAGGAACGAAAGCGUGGGUAGCAAACAGG
RNAcentral lists this ribosomal RNA (403 nucleotides) under bacterium. RNAcentral's name for it is "partial 16S ribosomal RNA". It matches the Rfam family "Bacterial small subunit ribosomal RNA", at positions 355 to 776 of the family's 1533-position model. The record is from RNAcentral.